This 21-nucleotide non-coding RNA is filed under the name Arabidopsis thaliana (thale cress). Lineage: Eukaryota; Viridiplantae; Streptophyta; Magnoliopsida; Brassicales; Brassicaceae. The record is from RNAcentral.
CAAGGAGCGCUUUUCAUUUAG